Acipenser ruthenus (sterlet) is the source of this 609-nucleotide long non-coding RNA. RefSeq lists it as uncharacterized. NCBI's taxonomy places the organism in Eukaryota, Metazoa, Chordata, Actinopteri, Acipenseriformes, Acipenseridae. The record is from RefSeq and is a predicted model, not a curated record. The transcript has 3 exons.
UUCGGUUAUCUCAGAUCUAAUAAAUGUGUUAUAAGAAGUUAUUCUAAAUAUAUCGUAAAAUAUAUUUUCUGAAUAUAGGUCAUGUUUUAUUAAACUACAUCUUACUUUACUGAUACAUCUAACAUGUUAUCUAUAAUAUCAUGGAAGGACAUAUUUGAUAUGCAAUGUUGCUACCAAUGUUUUAUUUUUUCAUCAAGCAUACAAGUUUACUUUUAGUUGUUUUUUGGGGGGGAAGAUAGGAAAAAUAUUGUUGUUAAUAUUAAAAUUUCUUAAUCUGGAAUAUUUUUGCCAGGUUGCCAGGUGUUAAUUGACUAAUUGACAAUCAAUUAAAAAGGGGCUGGAAAGCCAGACCUUGCUUUUUUUGUUUGUUUGUUCUUUCCUCUACGAGCCUGGAGGUGACAGGGAAGAAGCAUCACAUCUGGGUGUGGAACCAGGGUGGAAUGAAUUCCCUUAUGGUCAUACAUCAUAUUAGAGAGGGAAGCAGGUAUGAACUGAUUACAAUCCAUUUGUGGUAGACUUCAACUGUGAUGCAGUUUUCAAUUUGAGUGGAAGCAGUCAAGGGGAAGAGAAUGCAUCAGGAUAGGACAAACCCCUGAAAAAGCACCAAGC